Molecule: small nuclear RNA, 128 nt
Organism: Tupaia belangeri (northern tree shrew)
Lineage: Eukaryota; Metazoa; Chordata; Mammalia; Scandentia; Tupaiidae
Source: Ensembl
GUGUUUUUGGAAAGUCAAGAAUUAGGAUAGCAAUCCCCUGAAAAGAAUGGAAAACAUUUUAGGGACCUACAGCACACACAUAUAUUAAAACUAUUGCCACCUCUUUCUAGCACCUAACAGUAUUUUUG